RNAcentral lists this ribosomal RNA (303 nucleotides) under uncultured bacterium. Its description in RNAcentral is "partial 16S ribosomal RNA". It matches the Rfam family "Bacterial small subunit ribosomal RNA", at positions 507 to 808 of the family's 1533-position model. The record is from RNAcentral.
AGCAGCCGCCGCGGGAAUACGUAGGUCCCGAGCGUUGUCCGGAUUUAUUGGGCGUAAAGCGAGCGCAGGCGGUUAGAUAAGUCUGAAGUUAAAGGCUGUGGCUUAACCAUAGUACGCUUUGGAAACUGUUUAACUUGAGUGCAGAAGGGGAGAGUGGAAUUCCACGUGUAGCGGUGAAAUGCGUAGAGAUGUGGAGGAACACCAGUGGCGAAGGCGACUCUCUGGUCUGUAACUGACGCUGAGGAGCGAGAGCGUGGGGAGCGAACAGGAUUAGAUACCCCAGUAGUCCCUGUCUCUUAUACA